Molecule: ribosomal RNA, 406 nt
Filed under: Verrucomicrobiota bacterium
Lineage: Bacteria; Pseudomonadati; Verrucomicrobiota
Description: Verrucomicrobia bacterium partial 16S ribosomal RNA
Rfam family: Bacterial small subunit ribosomal RNA
Source: RNAcentral
UGGGGAAUAUUGGGCAAUGGGCGAAAGCCUGACCCAGCAACGCCGCGUGAGUGAUGAAGGCCUUCGGGUUGUAAAACUCUUUGGACAGGGACGAAGAAAGUGACGGUACCUGUAGAACAAGCCACGGCUAACUACGUGCCAGCAGCCGCGGUAAUACGUAGGGGGCUAGCGUUAUCCGGAUUUACUGGGCGUAAAGGGUGCGUAGGUGGUCUUUCAAGUCGGUGGUUAAAGGCUACGGCUCAACCGUAGUUAGCCUCCGAAACUGGAAGACUUGAGUGCAGGAGAGGAAAGUGGAAUUCCCAGUGUAGCGGUGAAAUGCGUAGAGAUUAGGAGGAACACCGGUGGCGAAAGCGGCUUUUUGGCCUGCAACUGACACUGAGGCGCGAAAGCGUGGGGAGCAAACAGG